UCAUUUCCCACCAUAUUCAGUCCCACCACAAAACCUUCCCUUUCCCCAACAACAACAAAUCCCUCCACAACAAAAUAACCUUCUCUUUCCCCAACAACAACAAAUCCCUCCACAACAAAAUCCACUCUUUCCCCAACAACAAAUCCCUCCACAACAAAACCCACCCUUUCCCCAACAACAACAAAACCCACCACAACCCCAACAAGAAAAUGUGGUCGAAGAGGAUGGUGCAACCCAGAUGAAUGGUGGUAGAGAGCUAGUGCCGUAUCAUGAUGUUUUCCCGGAUUAUCCGAAAGAUUCUCUUGGUCGAUACAUUUUAAGGCCUAGUGGAA
This 332-nucleotide long non-coding RNA is filed under the name Medicago truncatula (barrel medic). RNAcentral's name for it is "long non-coding RNA (MTRU_LNC003553)". Lineage: Eukaryota; Viridiplantae; Streptophyta; Magnoliopsida; Fabales; Fabaceae. The record is from RNAcentral.